Molecule: long non-coding RNA, 1706 nt
Organism: Daucus carota subsp. sativus
Lineage: Eukaryota; Viridiplantae; Streptophyta; Magnoliopsida; Apiales; Apiaceae
Exons: 5
Source: RefSeq, a predicted model, not a curated record
UUUGAUACUUUGCAUUUAAUUAAUUAACCUCUCAACUUUUUCAGGAGGAAACCGCUGCUAUCCAAGCAGAAAAUGUUGCUCUCCAAGCCCAAAUAGCUGCUCUCCGAGCUGAAAACGACAGGCUUCGAGCUAAAAGACAGAAAUUUCGAGAUGAAAUUUGGAGAGACAGCUCCUUCAAGGACUUUGUGCAAUUUGACCUGCUGGGAACAGAUGUGCUUGAUCAAGUCAUGGGCCAUUGGUUGAAGAAUGAGAACACUAAACUGAAGGAGACAAAUGAUGCACUCCGACGACAACUUCUAAAUGAUAAUCAACCAAACUGUGCAUGUGGAUGCGAGGAUGGGGGAGAAGACUCAGAGGAUGACAAUGGCGGCCAUUAGGCUGAUUGUUUGCUUUGUUAUCUUUUGAACUAUUGUUUGGGUUCAAUGUUAGAAUAAAUUGAUAUGGGUCGUUUGAUCUUGGUUUGGAUUUUUCUAUUUAUGGAUUGGUUUGAAUUAUGUCUGUGGAUUGUUUAUGUUAUGGAAUUUGUGUGUUGACUGUUGGUCAAUUUGUUUUUAUGGUUAAUGUUUAUGUAUGUGUGUUGUUGAUUAAUAUCACUUGUGCUGGAUUGUUAUUAGAUAACGUAGAGAUAUGAGUUUCUUAUUCAUAGUCCCUCACUCACUGUGGGGUGCACAUGUGUAUUUAGACCUCUUUGUAUGGCCUUUGCUGGAUGAUUGCUCUUGUUCAUACUGCUGGUUGUUUAAUCUCAAAAUUAGUUGUUUAAGGCAUUUGCAAAACCAAUAAAUGGUGCCAUAUUCAUUUUCAACCCAAGGACAGAGCUGCUGUUUUUAAAGGUAAUCCACACUAGUUUAUGGGCGGGGCAGAAACUUCAGCUGUCAUGGGAACUGUCCACACUUGCUCAGAGGCUCAAGCAGAUCAUGAGCAUCUUAAGAGGAAUUUAGAUAUCUGCUACGCCUACCUACACAAAGAUGCGAAGAUGAGAGCUGCAGCCUACAAGAGUCAUUGAAGCAUUUGUUUGAUGCCACUAGUUGGAUGCUCAGUUGGUGUGAGCACAAGAUAUCUUGCCGAUAAAUAUCCUUCUGGCAGAGUUACUGUGAAUACAUGGAAUUGAUGCCCUUCAAGAAAUUAUAUCGUAUGAACUAGUUGAUAUUGGGGAAAUCUGACAAUAAGAGUUUAUCCGUCUACUACAAUUCUUAAUAUCAUCCCUCUACUUGUUGAAAACGUUGGGCUGAUCUUUACGAAGGGAGAUUUGAAGGAAGUGAGUGAGGAGGUUGCUAAUUAGUACAAGGUCGGAGCUCCUGCUCAUGUUGGUUUGGUUGCUCCUGUCGAUGUUGUUGUGCUCCCAGGGAAGACGGGCCUUGAUCCCUCUCGGACAUCCUUCUUCCAGGUCCUCAAUAUCCCAACUAAGAUUAAUAAGGGUACUAUUGAGAUUAUCACUCCAGUCGAGCUUACAAGGAUGCCUAGAAGAAUAUAUUGGCAAUUGCCCUCGAGACAGAGUACUUAUUCCCACAGGCUGAUAAAGUGAAGGAGUGCUUGCAGAUCUUAGUAAGUUUGUAGUAGCUGCUGCUCCAGCUGCAACUGCUGAUUCUGGUGCUGAUCCUGCUGAAGAGAAAAAGGAAGAGCCUGCUAAAGAAUCUGACUAAUUUCUUUUUGCAUGAAUUGCUAAAAUCAAUUUUGAUGUCUAGUUUUUUUUUAUGCUGUUUUAUUUC